UAGCCGUGCGCGAGCUUUUCUUCGCUUCGUGUACGCCCACCGACAGCAGGGCAACAUUGGGAGCAGUGGAAGCAGCACAGUGUGAGGAUUCACCACACCUGUACGAAGUACGAUGCCACGAUGCAGAACGCACCCUUCAACGAGGACAUGGAUCAUCGUUCCAAGCAAUUUGUCAACGGCCCAGACUUCGCUUCGAAUAUCCACGACCCAUUGCCGCGUACAGCCUGACAUACACCACACGGAAUAGCGUACAGCCGCUCCCUGUGGAUUGAACGACGAAUAACUCCUGUCCAUGGCCAAGCGGCCAGAAUGCAUGCACGGAGGUUGCUACAUACAGUCCAAGCGUAGGGUAGUAAACCGGAUCUGCACCGUCACCACUGGCGACGCAAAUGUAAACGCGGCCAGCAAAGAGAGCAACGAUCCAAAGGUGACGUCCUAACUCUGCGAGGCCAGUUUCCGAACUGCUCUACUGCUGACGCUUCUUCCUGGCUUGGUUGCGGUGUCAUCAUGCGUAGUGCCUUCUCAGGCGCCGUCGUUAUGCGCUGAUGGCGUUCCAGCAAUACGCCUGUGGAAGCUGCCUACAACCAAUAUUUCUGCAUAUCUACCGUUGCCACAUCCGAAAACCACUGGUCCUCAUCCCACCCAGGCUGGCCCCAUCGUCAACGACAAUCGUCUUGGUGCCUGCCAUAAAGCUGGUGCCCCGAUCCGCAUCGCCCUGUGUGCUUGGUGACUGUGCCACAAACGAGUCAUCUAACCCUCUGCGUUUCUCCAUGCAGUGUCACAUCGACAAGGUCACUGCAUUGGACUGCACGGGAUCAUCAGUAGAAGUCGUAGACCUGGGUUACAGGGACACGAUAGCACGUGAACUGCUCAAGGAGUUUCGUGUACGACGAAGUAAUUCCCAGUGUGCAAAUGACACUGCUCUCCCACCGUGCAGCGUGGAAAACGCAGCACAAAUAAGCAGAGGGGACGAGAGCCAACGCUGUGUACAUCGAAUUAUGUCACACGACGAAUAAGCCCAAGCAUCUCACUUGACCUAGGCAAAGUUAUCUGGAUGAAGCUGUGCUCUAGGCACGUGUGCGGCGCAGCAACUAUCAAGUCCAGCGGCCAUUGCAUCGACUACGACUGGGACGUCGGCAUCCGGAAGGGGGCACCUGCUAGCUUGACGUCACCAACUAGGUAGGAUUUAAGAGGACGCUACCGUGAGACCCCCGUAAUUUUUGAGGCGGGUUGUGGCAACUGGAGCCUGUGCUGACUGCUUCCUACUUGCUCUGCGAGUUGGUGUCUGUUUCUACACGCGAUUGUGCAUUCCUUUUUGCCACGACUGCUACCUCGUAAUACGUGCUUCUUCUUUACUGUGUGUAUUUGGUAUCUUUGCUGGCCAUGCCGUCCAAUGCCGAGCUGGCGAAAAAAAAUAAUAAUUUGCUUGACUCAUUGCUUUGCUCUAGUCAUGACGCUGUCACUAAUGAUUUAACAGCUAAAAUUAAAAAGUUAGCUCAGGUAGGCCACGGGGAAGGCACGUCCCUAGGUGAGAGUGUGCGAUUUCUGUGCGACAGUUUUGACUCUAUCAAGGUGAAACAGGAUUAACUCACACUAACUAACAAGGAACUGAUUGCGCAAAAUGAGGCGCUAACCAGAAGAGUUACGGAACUCGAGCAGUAUUCGCGGCUAAAUAAUGUUGAAAUUAAGGGCCUACAAGUCACUCAGGGCGAGGACUAUGAAGCGGAUGGGUGAAGCUAUUCAAUGUCUUGUCACUCCCAGCGACUUUGAUGCAAUCCAUCGCGUCGUCUCAACUAAAUCAGACGAAAAGAACAUUGUCGCGAGGUUUUGUCGCCGGGACAUGAAAAACGACUUUGUCCGUAAAGCGCUAGGCCCGUCCGAGCACGUCUGAUGUUGGCUUCUCCGGUAGCUGUGAUACGGCAAUUUAUGUGAAGGAUCGCCUGUCUCCGAGAACAAACGAUUGCUUGCCAAGGCUCUUACACUGAAAAAAAAAAAACAGCGCACAAAUGGCAAUUUCUGUGGACUGACAAUUGCAGUAUCAAGGCCCGCAAAUCUAGUGAUAGCAGGGUGUAUCGUAUUGUAAAGGAAAGUGACCUAAGCAUUUGUAUUUAGCAUUGUGUAAACCUCCCUGCCUUUCACCUUCAUUCUCUCUCUCUUUAAGCCUGAAAGCAACACUUUCUGAUAUGCGAAUUUCCGUCUUCUCCGCUGGGCCACCUUACUUUUCCGGACUGAUGCCUUGCUUAGUGAGAAAGCUGACUUGCAAAAUUUCCUUGAUACGGCUAAUGAAAUGCUAUGUUAGUGGUUUGGCUUCACGUUUUUUUAAGCACCACCUCUAUGACGUUUGAGUACCAAUACGAAAUAGACUGAUUACAUUGUGCAAUUACAGUAUUUAAGUAUUAAAUGUUUAACAUUAGAUUGUAUCACGCAGAAAUAUCAUCUCAUAAAUAACUCGCACGUUUUUGUACGCGCUCUAAAUUUAUCUUUAUGGCAAGUCAUCUUAGCGACAACAAAUUACUUUAGUAUUCACAGAAGGAAAAAACAUUCAUAUCUGCUGAAGUACGAAGCCGCUGCAUAUUCUGCGAAGCUUGCUUUGCCUGGUUUUUCUACGCCACAAGUAAAUGUCGGCUAGUCAAUGCAUUCGCGAAAAGCAGUAGUCAACGCCUCUCAGUGCAAUGAACAUCUUGGUGAGAUCUAAUAAAAAAAAUGCUGCAUAUUAUUGUCAUUGUUGUCUGUAGGAGAACAUCGCUCAAUAACAUUGCGCAGGUCCUACGGCCAUAUGCGUAAAUACGGCACUUAGUUAGCUCUCAAAUCAGGGGGAUCACUUCACGAUUCUGAGUUUAAAGGGACACUUAACUGAAAUAGUAUGCGUUAAUAAAUUACGCUUAUGCGAUACCAACACGGCCACUCCUUCAGUAAAGAAUGCCUGGUAAGGCAAAAAAAAAAAAAAGAAACGCAAUAACGAGAGAUGCGUGGGGACUCAAGCGUCAAGUUCUCUCCACAGCUUGCCAUGACGUCAUGGAUAUCGACAACGUCUUUUCGAGUCUGCAGUUUCAACAGUUAAGGCCAAACUACACGUACGCUUGCCGGCGCGCCCUGACGCCUACAAGACGCCCGCCACUGCCCGCCACCGCACCUGCGCCUGCCUGCGCUUCGCUCUAUCAAUGUUUCUAUACUUGGCUCACAUUUUUGUUUUGGUAGACAUCGUUUCGUAUUUUUGUGAGACAGCCAGAGCACCGACACUUAUCUGGAGAAGAUAGACAGUUUGAGAAAAGCGUUUGCAUGCCCUUACGCAGAUUAAACGCAAGCACCUUUUCGGGAUGUUUGGUGUGUGCCCUUCAAGAGAGAGAGA
This is an RNA transcript of Dermacentor albipictus, 3349 nucleotides long. RefSeq lists it as uncharacterized. NCBI's taxonomy places the organism in Eukaryota, Metazoa, Arthropoda, Arachnida, Ixodida, Ixodidae. The record is from RefSeq and is a predicted model, not a curated record.